UGGGGAAUCUUGCGCAAUGGGCGAAAGCCUGACGCAGCGACGCCGCGUGGGGGAUGAAGCUUUUCGGAGUGUAAACCCCUUUCGACUGGGAAGAAUGCCCGCAAGGGAGCGACGGUACCAGUAGAAGAAGCCCCGGCUAACUACGUGCCAGCAGCCGCGGUAAGACGUAGGGGGCCAGCGUUGUUCGGAAUUACUGGGUGUAAAGGGUUCGUAGGCGGUGCGGCAAGUUGGGAGUGAAAUCUCUGGGCUUAACCCAGAGGCUGCUUCCAAAACUGCUGUGCUUGAGUGUGAGAGAGGCUCGCGGAAUUGCAGGUGUAGCGGUGAAAUGCGUAGAUAUCUGCAGGAACACCCGUGGCGAAAGCGGCGAGCUGGAUCACAACUGACGCUGAGGAACGAAAGCUAGGGGAGCAAACA
This 414-nucleotide ribosomal RNA is filed under the name uncultured bacterium. RNAcentral's name for it is "bacterial SSU rRNA". It matches the Rfam family "Bacterial small subunit ribosomal RNA", at positions 355 to 774 of the family's 1533-position model. The record is from RNAcentral.